RNAcentral lists this long non-coding RNA (455 nucleotides) under Equus asinus (donkey). Its description in RNAcentral is "lncRNA (ENSEASG00005036157.1)". Lineage: Eukaryota; Metazoa; Chordata; Mammalia; Perissodactyla; Equidae. The record is from RNAcentral.
GCCCACAGUUAGGAUUUAUACAGAGGAGUACUCCAGAUGGGAAACUUGAAGCAUACUGCUUAAGCCAUUUCAUUCUAGCCGGACCAGACGAUUGCCAUUGGGAUGUAGCGUAUGGGAUAAGCCCCCUGGUACAUAGUUGUGUGUUUUUAGUUGUAGGUCCUUCUAGUUGUGGCAUGUGGGAUGCUGCCUCGGCAUGGCUUGAUGAGCGGUGCCAUGUCCGCGUCCAGGAUCCGAAACAGCGAAACCCUGGGCUGCUGAAGUGAAGCGCGUUAACUUAACCACUUGGCCACGGGGCCGGCCCCAAAACCAGCACUCUUAACUCAACUUCUUUGCCUCUAAUUUGUUUCAAGCCAGGAAGAAAUACAAGAGGAAAAUAUAAUCUGUUAGCAAACUAUGCGAAGCAUAAAGUUUUUACAUCCAUAUAUUCUACAUUUUCAAAGUGGAAGGGAUGUUGU